RNAcentral lists this ribosomal RNA (458 nucleotides) under uncultured bacterium. RNAcentral's name for it is "partial 16S ribosomal RNA". It matches the Rfam family "Bacterial small subunit ribosomal RNA", at positions 338 to 795 of the family's 1533-position model. The record is from RNAcentral.
CCUACGGGUGGCAGCAGUGAGGAAUAUUGGUCAAUGGGCGAGAGCCUGAACCAGCCAAGUCGCGUGAGGGAGUACUGCCCUAUGGGUUGUAAACCUCUUUUGUCGGGGAGCAAAAGCCGGACGUGUCCGGCUGUGAGAGUACCCGAAGAAAAAGCAUCGGCUAACUACGUGCCAGCAGCCGCGGUAAUACGGGGGAUGCGAGCGUUAUCCGGAUUUAUGGGGGUUAAAGGGUGCGCAGGGGGAUUGUUAAGUCAGCGGGAAAAUCGUGGGGCUCAACCCCAUCCAGCAGUUGAAACUGGGGAUCUAGAGUGUGCGAGAGGUAUGCGGAAUGCGUGGUGUAGCGGUGAAAUGCAUAGAUAUCACGCAGAACCCCGAUUGCGAAGGCAGCAUACCGGUGCACAACUGACGCUCAGGCACGAAAGCGUGGGUAUCGAACAGGAUUAGAUACCCUUGUAGUC